GAUCAUGGCUCAGAUUGAACGCUGGUGGCAGGCUUAACACAUGCAAGUCGAACGGUAACAUAAAGAAGCUUGCUUCUUUGAUGACGAGUGGCGGACGGGUGAGUAAUGCUUGGGAAUCUAGCUUAUGGAGGGGGGAUAACUACGGGAAACUGUAGCUAAUACCGCGUAAUAUCGAAAGAUUAAAGUGUGGGACCUUCGGGCCACAUGCCAUAGGAUGAGCCCAAGUGGGAUUAGGUAGUUGGUGAGG
Molecule: ribosomal RNA, 247 nt
Filed under: uncultured bacterium
Lineage: Bacteria
Description: partial 16S ribosomal RNA
Rfam family: Bacterial small subunit ribosomal RNA
Source: RNAcentral